ACGCUGGCGGCGUGCCUAACACAUGCAAGUCGAGCGAGAAGUAAAGAAAUGAAGCUUCGGUAGAUUUUCAUUAUGGAAAGCGGCGGACGGGUGAGUAACGCGUAGGCAACCUGCCCUGUACAGGGGGAUAGCCACCCGAAAAGGUGAUUAAUACCCCAUGAUGCAAGAGAUACACAUGUAUCACUUGUCAAAGAUUUAUCGGUAUGGGAUGGGCCUGCGUCUGAUUAGCUAGUUGGUAGGGUAACGGCUACCAAGGCAACGAUCAGUAGCCGACCUGAGAGGGUGAUCGGCCACAUUGGAACUGAGACACGGUCCAAACUCCUACGGGAGGCAGCAGUGGGGAAUAUUGCACAAUGGGGGAAACCCUGAUGCAGCAACGCCGCGUGAAGGAAGAAGGCCUUCGGGUUGUAAACUUCUGUCCUAGGGGAAGAAACAAAUGACAUUACCCUUGGAGGAAGCCCCGGCUAACUACGUGCCAGCAGCCGCGGUAAUACGUAGGGGGCGAGCGUUAUCCGGAAUUAUUGGGCGUAAAGAGUGCGUAGGUGGCAUCUUAAGCGCAGGGUUUAAGGCAAUGGCUCAACCAUUGUUCGCCUUGCGAACUGGGGUGCUUGAGUGCAGGAGGGGAAAGUGGAAUUCCUAGUGUAGCGGUGAAAUGCGUAGAUAUUAGGAGGAACACCAGUGGCGAAGGCGACUUUCUGGACUGUUACUGACACUGAGGCACGAAAGCGUGGGGAGCAAACAGGAUUAGAUACCCUGGUAGUCCACGCCGUAAACGAUGAGCACUAGGUGUCGGGGUCGCAAGACUUCGGUGCCGCAGUUAACGCAUUAAGUGCUCCGCCUGGGGAGUACGCACGCAAGUGUAAAACUCAAAGGAAUUGACGGGGACCCGCACAAGCAGCGGAGCAUGU
RNAcentral lists this ribosomal RNA (908 nucleotides) under uncultured bacterium. Its description in RNAcentral is "bacterial SSU rRNA". It matches the Rfam family "Bacterial small subunit ribosomal RNA", at positions 33 to 942 of the family's 1533-position model. The record is from RNAcentral.